Molecule: ribosomal RNA, 254 nt
Filed under: uncultured bacterium
Lineage: Bacteria
Description: partial 16S ribosomal RNA
Rfam family: Bacterial small subunit ribosomal RNA
Source: RNAcentral
GACGAACCGUGCGAACGUUAUUCGGAAUCACUGGGCUUAAAGCGCGUGUAGGUGGCUUGGCACGUCUGUCGCUGAAAUCCCACGGCUCAACCGUGGAACGGGCGCGGAUACGACCAGGCUUGAGGGAUGUAGGGGGAUCGGGAACUUCCGGUGGAGCGGUGAAAUGCGUUGAGAUCGGAAGGAACGCCCGUGGCGAAAGCGCGGUCCUGGACAUUUCCUGACACUGAGACGCGAAAGCUAGGGGAGCAAACGGG